AAGGGUGAUGGGGAAAAAAGGGUGAAAGGAAAGGGAUGAAGAAAAAGGGUGAGAAAGGGUGAUGGGGAAAGAAGGGUGAAAGGAAAGGGAUGAAGAAAAAGGGUGAGAAAGGGUGAAGGGGAAAGAAGGGUGAAAGGAAAGGGAUGAAGAAAAAGGGUGAGAAAGGGUGAAGGAGAAAGAAGGGUGAAAGGAAAGGGAUGAAGAAAAAGGGUGAGAAAGGGUGAAGGAGAAAGAAGGGUGAAAGGAAAGGGAUGAAGAAAAAGGGUGAGAAAGGGUGAAGGAGAAAGAAGGGUGAAAGGAAAGGGAUGAAGAAAAAGGGUGAGAAAGGGUGAAGGGUGAAAGGAAAGGGGAUGAAGAAAAAGGGUGAAGGGGAAAGAAGGGUGAAAUUAAAGGGGAUGAAGAAAAAGGGUGAGAAAGGGUGAAGGGGAGAGAAGGGUGAAAGGAAAGGGGAUGAAGAAAAAGGGUGAGAAAGGGUGAAGGGUGUGAGGGUGAGUAUGGACACAGGCUCACCCGCAGCCAAAGCGACCACCUGACUUCUGGUUCCCCCGUACAGGUCUGGGGGAGGCAGCGGGGGAGACCUGGUUACUCUCUUUCUCUC
Molecule: long non-coding RNA, 598 nt
Organism: Eriocheir sinensis (Chinese mitten crab)
Lineage: Eukaryota; Metazoa; Arthropoda; Malacostraca; Decapoda; Varunidae
Exons: 2
Source: RefSeq, a predicted model, not a curated record